Long non-coding RNA from Zea mays, 3255 nucleotides. RefSeq lists it as uncharacterized. Lineage: Eukaryota; Viridiplantae; Streptophyta; Magnoliopsida; Poales; Poaceae. The transcript is spliced from 10 exons. The record is from RefSeq and is a predicted model, not a curated record.
AUUAUAACAACAAAAAAAGACAACGUUUUGAGACCGGUGGGUUGCCUACCUCGACCUCCAAACCCUAACUCUAGGUCCAUCCCAUCGCAGAGAAAACCUUCGGUGCCCGGCUGAUGGGGAGGAGGAAGGAGCGACGCCUAGCGGCCAUGGCCGCGGCGGGCCGCAGGGUCAAGCUCGACCUCUUCCUCGAUUCCUCCCCCGGGGAGGCAUCACAUAAUAAUGGAAUAGGAGGUGAAAACCGUGACCAACAGACUGUGGUUCCCACUUCUCCAUCUUCUUCAGGUGGGUUUCAUCAAUUUUCUUCCAAGGGAUAUGUAAAGAAGACAUGCCUAUGGAUUAUGGAACAUAAAUAUGGUGGAAAUUUGGAUUUGUGUACAAGCAUGUAUACCUUCGCAUAUCUGGUUCCGAGAUACAUGUAGGAUUACCGGCCUGCAAGGAACAUUGAGUAAAUUCUUCAGACUGAGCUACCACUGUCAAAAUUUAGUGAAUGCCUAUGGGUAACCUCACUCAGUUGGCAGCAUCUAAGCGUGGGGAUUUCAGGAUGUGAUUGUUCCCUCCUCGGUUCGUAUGUCUCUUUCUUUAUAAAAAGGAGAAUCCUCUAGCAUUGCUUGGGCAAUAUAGUGAUGAUGAAGUGGAAGAUGAGGAAGCAGCAGAUCAACCCACUGGUGAAGCUAAGGGGAGUCCAGGAGAUGCUAGUGCUCAGUUAACUAGUCAGCGUGCGGAUAUAGCUGGUGAUAACAGUGAGGCAAAAAUUGAACCAUCGGCUUCUGUCGGUGAUCAACAAGAAGCAGCACCUCAAGCUGGUGACGUUAAGAACUACACCCAAAGUGUUACUGAAGAAAACACUAUAGCUCCUGAGCCAACUGUACAAGAAGAGAGUGUGAAAGCAACUGAAUCUCUUCCCGAUUCAUCUGGCAUGCAGAUUGUUGGUGAUGUCGGUGGAAAUUGGAAAGCAGUAAUGCAUGAACAGAGUAAUCAGUGUUAUUACUGGAACACAGUUACUGGAGAAACUUCUUGGGAUAUACCAAAUGGAUUAGCUUCAGGAGUUGCAACUGCAUUUGUUCCUUCUGAUGUGGACUAUUCAAAUGAAGCUCAAACCCAUGUCCUUCCCCACAGCACACUGGAAGCAUAUCCAAGUGAUAUGUCUGUUGGGAACGGCACAACUUAUCCUAAUUUGGGAAUGGCAUGUGGAAGUGCACAUGUUACUCAAGAUGCUUAUGCUUAUGCUGCUCCUAUCGCCAGUAAUGAGCCUUUGGACAUUGAUCCCUUGUAUCUUGCAAAAUAUGGUGAUGGUUUGCUGCAAAGAUUGGACCUGCUGGAAAGGCUCUGUGGCUCGAACAAAGGUCUUGAAUUGAUAAGAAGAGAAAUUGAGAUACGGAUGUCGGACUUAAAUGCACUUUCAUCUUAUGGAUCUUCUUUGCUCCCAUUGUGGUUGCAUGCUGAGGUGCACCUGAAGCAACUAGACUCUUCUAUUUCCAAGCUGGAAAUGAACUAUCAUGCAGAUUCAGAACCUAGGAAUUCAAAGACAGAGGUUGCUGAACACAGGGCACCUGAUGAUGCUGACUUGAUAACACCCUCCAAUGGCGAGGCUUUGAAGUAUGAAGUUUGUGCUGGGAUUACUAUCGAUGCAAAUAUGAAGAUUGGUAAGCCAGCUUCAACGUCUCAGAAUUCACAAGGUAGGGAUAAUGCAGCUGUUCCUCCAAAAAUUGAAUCUGACAAUGAUGAAGAUAUGGAUGUGGAAAUGGAAGUUGAUGAAGAUAAUGUCGAAGAGCAGGCACAGUGCAGUUCUGUACCUGAAAAGGAGCAUCCUCCUUCAGAACAGUUGAGUUCAUCUAAUUUGCCAUCAUUUGAAGAUCCUACACCUCCUGAGGAUAAUUCUGUUCCUCCACCUCCGCCAGAAGAGGAAUGGAUUCCACCUCCACCACCUGAACACGAACACGAACCAGCUCCUCCAGCUUCCCCAGAAGAGCCGGCUGCAUCAUAUGUUCAGGUGGAUACAAUUCCUCAGCCAUAUAUAGCUCAAGAAAAUGUUGGCUAUACAAUUUCAGGAAUGGAGUAUUAUAGUACUGAAGGUACAAAUGCCAAUUACUAUAUGCAAGUGAGUGAGCCUCAUGUCCUUCAAGCACAACAUUCUUAUUAUGCACCAGUAUCUGGGAGUGGCAUAUCUGUUUCUGUUGAUGGCACAUCUAUUGCCCCAGAAUCUUAUUAUACCUAUCCUUCAGUCACUGUGGCUGCAAGCGCUGUAGCAGCUGAACAUUCUGGAUACUACGCUUCAUCAGUCUCUGCCAUUUAUAGCAGUGCAGCAGAUAUCAAAACAAGCUCAGCUUCUCUUGUUUCUGCAAUUAGCAAUUCGGAUCUAAAAAAUCAUGAUAAUGUUAUAUCCAAUGAUGCAAGUAUUGUGCCUUUCACCCAAGCUGUAGUAGCAACAUCAGCUGCAGGAACGACAUCUGUUCCUGAAAGUUCUACACAGCCUUCUAGCAGUACUACAAACCAGAUCAAAGUUAUUCGCAACAAGAAGCGGGUUGUUGGUAUUACAUCGUCUCUGAGGUCUAAUAAGAAGGUUUCAAGUUUGGUAGAUAAGUGGAAAGCUGCAAAAGAGGAGCUUCGUGAUGAAGAGGAAGAUGAGCCUGAAACUGCUCUAGAGGCAUUAGAAAGGAAGCGACAAAAGGAAAUAGAGGAGUGGCGGAAACAACAGAUAGCUUUUGGACAUGCUCAGGAAAAUGCCAAUUUUGUUCCUGUUCGUGGUGAUUGGCGUGACCGUGUAAAACGCAGAAGGGCUGAAGCAAAAAAGGAGUCAAAAGAUGACAUUGUUGUUGCAUCUUUAAGUAGUUCCAAACAGCAUAAAGGAUCUCCUGAUCUAGCAGAGCUUUCCAAGGGUCUUCCUACUGGUUGGCAGGCAUACUUGGAUGAGUCUACUAAGCAGGUCUAUUAUGGGAACAGUCUCACGUCUGAGACGUCCUGGGAGCGGCCAACAAAUGAAUGAAGAUCUAUAACCUUGGUGUGCGGUCAACCGAACGAUACAAGUUGAUUUGUUAAUGUAGUUGAUGCUGUUGAAUGGGCAGCCCAAUUUUGUUUGGCAGCCAACCCCAUCCUUUAGAGAAGAACAAACCACACCUCACCAGGAGAUGGCUGAUUGUUUCAUUGUCUUGGUCACAAGGCACAAAAUUUUUGAUGGGAUAGGUUUUGCUUGGCUAACCUAUCUGCAGUACAACAUCUCUUAUUAAUCACUAACUAGAUGAAGGCACAUUUCGGUCA